AAUAGAUCCCGGGUAGUCCAUGCCGUAAACGUUGGGCACUAGGUGUGGGACUCACUCAACGGGUUCCGUGCCGUAGCUAACGCAUUAAGUGCCCCGCCUGGGGAGUACGGCCGCAAGGCUAAAACUCAAAGGAAUUGACGGGGGCCCGCACAAGCAGCGGAGCAUGUUGCUUAAUUCGAGGCAACGCGAAGAACCUUACCUGGGUUUGACAUGUACGGAAAAGCCGCAGAGAUGCGGUGUCCUUUUGGGCCGUACACAGGUGGUGCAUGGUUGUCGUCAGCUCGUGUCGCGAGAUGUUGGGUUAAGUCCCGCAACGAGCGCAACCCUUGUCCUAUGUUGCCAGCGGGUAAUGCCGGGGACUCGUAGGAGACUGCCGGGGACAACUCGGAGGAAGGUGGGGAUGACGUCAAAUCAUCAUGCCCCUUAUGUCCAGGGCUGCAAACAUGCUACAAUGGCCAGUACAAAGGGCUGCUAUACCGCGAGGUUGAGCGAAUCCCAUAAAGCUGGUCUCAGUUCGGAUUGGAGUCUGCAACUCG
RNAcentral lists this ribosomal RNA (536 nucleotides) under uncultured bacterium. Its description in RNAcentral is "bacterial SSU rRNA". It matches the Rfam family "Bacterial small subunit ribosomal RNA", at positions 777 to 1314 of the family's 1533-position model. The record is from RNAcentral.